UGACCUUUAACAGGUCGGGACCACUACCUUAUAUGGAAAUGCAUAAAUUAGCAUACUUAUGUUCUCGCACAUGUAAUUGUUUAUUUACAUGUGACGCAAUUUAUUUUUACCUAGGUUUUUGACCAAUCCACUAAAUGAGUCACAAUGCAUGAUGGACUACUACGUGUUUACAAUCAACCAAGAACACGUGUUAUUUACUGAAAUACAACACAUUUUUUCGUGCAAUGCGGGAUUCACAAUUUCGCUUAGUUUUUCAUUUUGUGUAUCCUCAUUUAUAGUUCGUGAUAUAAAGUAUUACUUCCAUGCUCAGAUUAACGAAGAGUUGUUUCUAUGCGAAGAAAAAAGGGUUUGAAUUACCCGAUAUAUAGCCAUUAACAUGUUUGAUGAUGGCACAGAGAUUUCAUGUAUUUGUCCACCAGAAGCAACGAAACAACAGCGAAAAAACACAAUUACCCAUGAGACAAACUUACUGGUGUAAAGUAAGCCGUCGAUAACAGCCGGUGCUGAUAUUCAAGAGUACAGCAAUGUUCGUAUAGAUAAUUAAAGGCAAAUGUGGGAUCCUUGAAUUUUGUGUUCGUAAAAAAGGCGAAGAAAUAUUUACAUACAUGGCAGUGUUAACAAAAUCUAUAAGUAUUUUUGUUGGUCACAUUUCAGUAUAUGGGACUUCCAAACUGUUCCCUUUUUUUUAAGGUAGUGAAGUCAGCAACUGUAGUUUCAGUUUGUUCGUUUUUUAACGGGCUCGGACAUUUGCCAAACUGAAUAAAAUCAUUACAGCUGAUUUCUUAAACCUGCAAAGUAAAACUUUGGUUGGCUUGCUUGCUUUGUUUGUAUAGUUGUUUAUACAAGCUUUGAAAAUAAGAUUGACAUCUUUAAACAAUAUAUAUAUAUAUAGGCAUAGUUUAACUUGUAUAUUUUAUAUUUUGUACAAUAUACAAACAAAGCAAGCAAGCUAACCAAAGUUUUGCUCCACAUGCAUUAGGAAAUAAGCUGUAAUGAUUUUAUCCAUAUGUAUGUGCGACAAGGUGGAAAAUUUGAUAUGUUUUGUGAAAAUUGCAGCGUUGGAUCUAUAAUAAAAAAAAAAAGAUGUGGUAUGAUUGCCAAUGAGACAGCUGUCCACAAGAGACCAAAAUGACACAGAAAUUAACAUUUAUAGAUCACCGUACGGCCUUCAACAAUGAGCAAAGCCCAUACCGCAUAGUCAGCUAUAAAAGUCCCCGAUAUGACAAUGUAAAACAAUUCAAACGAGAAAACUAACGGCCUUAAUUAUAUAAAAAAAAAAAUGAACGAAAAACAAAUAUGUAACACAUAAACAAACGACAACCACUGAAAUACAGGCUCCUAUACAAUAUAUUUUUUUUUGAUGGGAUAGAUUUCUUGUCCUUUUAUAUAUUUAAUUGGGCCGGUUUUUUUUUUUUGUUUUUUGUUUGGAUUGUUUUACACAAGUAAUUUUGGGUCAUUAAUAGCUUACUUUUCAGCAUUGGACCUAUGACUGCUUACUUUACUAAAUUAUGUCUUUGUUGGAAAGAUGUCUCAUUUGGCACUCAUACCUCAUCUUCUUAUUUCUAUAUACAAAGCACGUUUUAGAAAAAAAAAAAAUAGGUAAUAUGGCACCCACUAUGAUCCAGAGACUUUUAAUAUUGGAGAUAUUUUACAUAUGUCAACAGGACAGCAGCCGAACGAUAAAAAAACCUCUGAGGUAUAUUUUGUGAUAAAAUUAGCAACAAACGGAUAUUAUCGAUGGAUGAAACUAUAAAAAAA
RNAcentral lists this long non-coding RNA (1758 nucleotides) under Mytilus galloprovincialis (Mediterranean mussel). The record is from RNAcentral. Lineage: Eukaryota; Metazoa; Mollusca; Bivalvia; Mytilida; Mytilidae.